GCACGAAAGGCGUAACGAUUUGGGCACUGUCUCAACGAGAGACUCGGUGAAAUCAUAGUACCUGUGAAGAUGCAGGUUACCCGCGACAGGACGGAAAGACCCCGUGGAGCUUUACUGUAGCCUGAUAUUGAAAUUCGGCACAGCUUGUACAGGAUAGGUAGGAGCCAUUGAAACGUGAGCGCUAGCUUACGUGGAGGCGUUGGUGGGAUACUACCCUAGCUGUGUUGGCUUUCUAACCCGCACCACUUAUCGUGGUGGGAGACAGUGUCAGGCGGGCAGUUUGACUGGGGCGGUCGCCUCCUAAAAGGUAACGGAGGCGCUCAAAGGUUCCCUCAGAAUGGUUGGAAAUCAUUCACAGAGUGUAAAGGCAUAAGGGAGCUUGACUGCGAGACCUACAAGUCGAGCAGGGUCGAAAGACGGACUUAGUGAUCCGGUGGUUCCGCAUGGAAGGGCCAUCGCUCAACGGAUAAAAGCUACCCCGGGGAUAACAGGCUUAUCUCCCCCAAGAGUUCACAUCGACGGGGAGGUUUGGCACCUCGAUGUCGGCUCAUCGCAUCCUGGG
RNAcentral lists this ribosomal RNA (562 nucleotides) under Escherichia coli. RNAcentral describes it as "partial 23S ribosomal RNA". It matches the Rfam family "Bacterial large subunit ribosomal RNA", at positions 1990 to 2551 of the family's 2925-position model. The record is from RNAcentral. Lineage: Bacteria; Pseudomonadati; Pseudomonadota; Gammaproteobacteria; Enterobacterales; Enterobacteriaceae.